Molecule: long non-coding RNA, 2599 nt
Organism: Papaver somniferum (opium poppy)
Lineage: Eukaryota; Viridiplantae; Streptophyta; Magnoliopsida; Ranunculales; Papaveraceae
Exons: 6
Source: RefSeq, a predicted model, not a curated record
UUUGGUUUUACUCUGAUACUAAAAAUCCCAUCGUAUUAAGAAUUUUAGGUUAACUUUUACUUCAUAACAGUCUUCCAAUUUAUAUUGUUUAGGUUGAAUUUUACUUCAAUGAUAGCAGUCUUCCGAGAGAAGAGUUUCAGAAGAAAUAAUUAGUGAAAGUGAAGAUGGAUUUAUCCUUUUAAUCUUCCAGGAGAAAGAAACCCUAGAUUUAGGGCAUCUGUGUGAUUUGAAACCUGGUUUUUUCUUUCCACCUCUUUGUUUUUUUAUAUCGGAUUCUCUUUCUACCUCCCCGAUUCCUUUUCCUCUCUCCCACACAAAACCUAGACCUUUGCUUCUUUGGUUUCUGUUUUGAUUGUUUUUUCUUUUUAAUGUAUUGGUUAAUGAUUUAUUUUUAUUUUGAUUUUGUAGUUGAAAAGAGACUGAUUCAAAGAUGGGAUGAUUUUGGUAGAGAUCUUUAAACAAAAAUAAAGACUUAUGGAUGCUUUCAGAUUUGAGGGCAGACUUAAAGACAUGAGAACUUUCAGUAUAUUCAGGCAAGGCAAGUGAAUCAUGACAAAUAUCCUGCUGAUCCUGAAGCUGCUGAAAGAUUUCAGGUGACUACAUAUAUUUUUUUUAAUCUUUUGGGUUAAUGAGUGACAACAUUGUGCUUACUGUGUAGUGCAAAAAUAUUUGAUUACUUUUUCUUGCUGAGUUAAUUAGAUGCAAGUCCAGGCUAAACAAUAACAUUUGUUUAUUUGAAUACCCAUAAUAUUUUGAUGUCCUUUUCAUGGUUCAACCUCCAGCAUAUUCUUUAAAGUUUCUCAAUAGUUUGUAUAUUUAGUCAUUACUGAUUUACUACAUUGAUCAUUGCUCCGUAUGGGAGUCUUUUUUUCUGUCUUAAUCUUCAUGUUAGUCAUUACUUAUGUUCCUUUUAGCUAGCUACUCUAAAAUCUCUGCUACCUUAUGACACAUCAUAUUUUCGCACAUGAUUGACCAACGGACUCCAAUAAACUUGGGUUGGUUUACACUAUAAUUUCAGAAUACCUAAACAUAAUUAGUCUUUCUUUUUUGGGAAGAGCAUAAGCCUUUGUGUUGGUAUUUAGCUGCAUGUUAGGUGCUAUAUAAAACCGAGCAUGGCCACAGUAAUAUUGUAAUCUCAAUAGCAAGUUACUUUGGUAUUCCCUUCACUUUUGGUUUAGUGGAGUGGUCAGCUAAUUGCAAGACUCCGGUUUCAUGGAAUACGGCAAAGAAAUAGGAAGGAGGAAAUAAUAUGGUGGAAUGUUCUUGAGUUUCAUGCAUGUAUGGAUUCUUAAAUCUGAGCCGACAACAAUGCAUUCAAAUUUUUAAAUUUUGGUGAAUAAAAACUGAAUUGUGUUUGUUUCGUGAAGUUGGUUAACAUUUGGAGAAUAGUAUGUUGCACCAAGCAAACUUCGGUGGUUUCUUCAUAUUAUUUUGUAGAGAAUUGGCCGAGUUUAGACCACUUACAGGGGUCAGCUGUAUUCGCCGCUACUCACCCUACCCGUUACUGUGUUACCUUCUGUCGACACAGUGGCUAGAUCAGGCACGUUGGCUCUAUUAUAUCUCUCUCUCUACUGCCAUUAGAAACUCAUAGUAAUUAAUUACAUAGUUCUGAUCACUUUUUUUUCUCCCAGUAAGGCGUCUUGAUCACCUCUGAAUGGAAUAAUUAAGAAUCUUCAGUGGGUGUACCAACUUUCCUUAAAGCACGUAGAAGUGUCGCGUUUCAUAUUAUUUACUCAGAAUUUUUGAUCGACUAAUUCUUUGUUCGUGUUUUAUGGGUUCUGUUAGGGUAACAUGGCAAGUGAGUAUUAGGGAAAAGAAAAGUUUCUCAAAAGUUUCGAUUCCUCAUCUUCUUGAUAUGGGGAAUCCGUUAUAAUUGUAAACACCCAUAUCGUCUUGCUCUUUUAUAGAUUUAUGUUCUAGCAGUUUCAUCAUUCCUUCUUCUCAUCUGUGGAACAGUUCGGCUUUGAAUAUAUCUUUCUUUUUGUACUUCCAUUUGCUUCGAGUUGGAACUAGCUACAUGUGGGUGUGGAAGGGAUUGCGAAGUACAUUUGUCUCUGCUUCAUUUUCAUAAUUAUUGCGAUUGCAGAGGUUUUUCUUAAGGGUGGGUUUGUUCGGGGGGGCUUUUCUUAAUGCGUCCUGAGUUCAUGCAGAGGUACAACAUUACAUGGGAAGUCAGUUUAGGUUUUGAAGUUGGUCGCUACCCAUUUUGUUAAUCUGGCUUUGUAUAAUCACGGGAAGGAGAAACAAGCAAGGAAGGAAGUUGCUUCAUUCUAGGAAUGACUGAGUCGACCCUGCUUUAGAAAAAUACUGGAUCCAUCCAUGACUAUCUUUGGGAUACUGGAAUGCUUGGUCAAGUAACCUUGGUAACAACAAUUGGCUUAUAUUCCUGAAUGAAUAAACGCAAUGCUUAGCUGACUACGUGGGGAUAAUGAUGUAACAAUGAUUUGUAUGAUGGACAGUCGAUGUGCCUACGUGGAGGUUGGUGUUGAGUUAUUUGGAAAAGAGUACAUAGCAUAUAUACAUGCGAAGGAUGGUAAUACUGUCAUCUUUGUUUCUAAAACAACAACCGUAUAUGAUAUAAUGUAGUUGUCACAACUGA